GAAAAGAAACCAACAGGGAUUGCCCUAGUAACGGCGAGUGAAGCGGCAACAGCUCAAAUUUGAAAUCUGGCUUCGGCCCGAGUUGUAAUUUGCAGAGGAUGUUUAUGGUGCGGUACCUUCCGAGUUCCCUGGAACGGGACGCCACAGAGGGUGAGAGCCCCGUCUGGUUGGAUACCAAACCUGUGUUAAACUCCUUCAACGAGUCGAGUAGUUUGGGAAUGCUGCUCUAAAUGGGAGGUAAAUCUCUUCUAAAGCUAAAUACCGGCCAGAGACCGAUAGCGCACAAGUAGAGUGAUCGAAAGAUGAAAAGCACCUUGAAAAGGGGGUUAAACAGUACGUGAAAUUGUUGAAAGGGAAGCGUUUAUGACCAGACUUGUGUCGUGUGGCUCAUCCGAGGUUCUCCCCGGUGCACUCCACGCGGCUCAGGCCAACAUCGGUUCUCGUUGGGGGAUAAGAACAGUAGGAACGUGGCCCCCCUCGGGGGGUGUUAUAGCCUAUUGUACGAUACUCUGACGGGGACCGAGGACCGCGCUUCGGCUAGGAUGUUGGCGUAAUGGUCAUUAGCGACCCGUCUU
This 575-nucleotide ribosomal RNA is filed under the name Cryptosporella platyphylla. RNAcentral's name for it is "eukaryotic LSU rRNA". It matches the Rfam family "Eukaryotic large subunit ribosomal RNA", at positions 56 to 655 of the family's 3401-position model. The record is from RNAcentral. Lineage: Eukaryota; Fungi; Ascomycota; Sordariomycetes; Diaporthales; Gnomoniaceae.